AUAGUUUGUGAAAAAAAAACUGGCAUGGUGUAGAAGACUUCAAAAAGCAGUCUAGAAGUGUCCUUUUUAUUGGUGGUAGGCAAGAGGCGGAUCAUUGGCAGCUUUACAGUGUAAUAAUGAUCUUUGAAGCUAAUGGUUUGACACUGAUGGUUACCGCCUUCACCUAAUCAAUGCAGUUAGGCGGGUAUCAUUGUUCUAUCUCACCAACGGGAUACCAUAAAAGCUAAAACAGAUUCAACAGUGAAGCUUCGAGUAAAGCUAACUUCGAUCCACCCAAGGGAAAACAAAUUCUAAGACAAUUCAAAUUCCC
Armigeres subalbatus is the source of this 310-nucleotide long non-coding RNA. RefSeq lists it as uncharacterized. NCBI's taxonomy places the organism in Eukaryota, Metazoa, Arthropoda, Insecta, Diptera, Culicidae. The record is from RefSeq and is a predicted model, not a curated record. The transcript is spliced from 3 exons.